CCCCAAAGCACUACACCUUUAAGCAAUGGCCU
This 32-nucleotide non-coding RNA is filed under the name Mus musculus (house mouse). The record is from RNAcentral. Lineage: Eukaryota; Metazoa; Chordata; Mammalia; Rodentia; Muridae.